AGAAUGAAAGUAAAUGAAAAAGAGGAAUAAAAAGGAGAAGGAAGUGGUCCGCGGGGCUGGCAAAGUGCCUGACAAGAUAGCCUGGGAGCAAAGCAUGCUGGGAGGCAGAAUGUGGACUCCUCUUCUCUUUAAUAAAGAA
Gadus macrocephalus (Pacific cod) is the source of this 139-nucleotide long non-coding RNA. RefSeq lists it as uncharacterized. The transcript has 2 exons. Lineage: Eukaryota; Metazoa; Chordata; Actinopteri; Gadiformes; Gadidae. The record is from RefSeq and is a predicted model, not a curated record.